RNAcentral lists this transfer RNA (90 nucleotides) under Acidobacteriota bacterium. RNAcentral's name for it is "Acidobacteria bacterium (groundwater metagenome) tRNA-Ser". It matches the Rfam family "tRNA". From Rfam's summary of the family: Transfer RNA (tRNA) molecules are approximately 80 nucleotides in length. The record is from RNAcentral. Lineage: Bacteria; Pseudomonadati; Acidobacteriota. RNAcentral also lists the same sequence under 1 other name.
GGUGAGGUGCGAGAGUGGUUGAAUCGGGCGGUCUCGAAAACCGUUGAACCCGUAAGGGUUCCGUGGGUUCGAAUCCCACCCUCACCGCCA